ACCAGUCACUACAGACACCAUACACACAAACUCACAACCAGUCACUACAGACAGCAUACACACAAACUCACAACCAGUCACUACAGACAGCAUACACACAAGCUCACAACCAGUCACUACAGACACCAUACACACAAACUCACAACCAGUCACUACAGACAGCAUACACACAAGCUCACAACCAGUCACUACAGACACCAUACACACAAGCUCACAACCAGUCACUACAGACACCAUACACACAAACUCACAACCAGUCACUACAGACAGCGCACACACUCUCCCAUUAUCGACUUUGGUGACAACACUCCCAACCCCCAACACGACAUCUCUAACCACACCUCUAGUCUCUUUCCUCAGCUCUCCAACUAGGCCAGUUACAGUACUCACAUCUACCUACACCACUGAUACCGCCUCAGCAGCCAGGCCCUCUCAGCUCACUUCUUUGACAGAUGAGACCGCUACCACACACACAGCUACCCUCACCCCCUCCCUCAGACCUUCCACUUUCACAGACUUAGAGAGCUACCUGACUGACAGCACUUCUGCAGUCUCCUCCUUCCUAGGCACACAGCUCCACACUACCACAGCCGCAUCUCUGACCCACACACCCACCAGUGCUGAGCCAUUGGUUACUACGGCAGGAGGCACUCACACCCUCCUAGUCACCAGCACUCCACCAGCCCACAGCGCUCUCAGCCUUUCUUCCUCCACCCUCCAGAGCACAGAAACACAGUUUGUCAGCACACAGCACACCUCGCCCAGCAGUGGGACAGUUAACCCCUCAGGUACAGAAAACCCCACUAGUCCCCAUGCUACAAGAACUCCAGAAACAACUGUAUUCUCCUCAUCCAUUUCUGACAGCAGUACUGGGAUCACAUGGAUGAGCAGUGGGCCAUCAGCUCCAGUUACCAACCAUACCCUCCACACUACAGUGGGGCUCACCCCAGCAUUCACCACCACCACAACACUCAUAUCUCCCAAAACAUCAGCUCUUCCUCAAAGUCAGCAACCCUCCCCUAGCCCUGCUGUAACAUCUACCAGGAAAACCACACUAAAGCAAACCACAGACCGUCUUAACACACAGCCAGUCACCAUGGCCACCAUGCCUCCUUCUCUCAGCUCACCCAGCCUCACUUCCUUAAACAGCCACAACACUGUCACCUUGUCCACAACUGCCAUCUCUGUACCUCCUGUCAGUUCAGGGACACUGGGGACCGUCACAUCCACAAUUCCCUCUUCACAUAGCCCAGAACAGCCAACCAUAUCAGACACAUCUCUCCCCUCCUCAUCCAUGGGCAGCAUCACAGAGUCACUCAUGACACACACAGCUGUGACUUCCCCAGUCACGUCCUCGGUAACAGUCACAGGCCCACUCACAGAUGCCAAAUCUUCCAGUCCCUCCCACAUGACCUCCAAUAUUCUGAGCUCAGGCACAAGUAUGGCUGCAUCCUCUACAUCUGCUUCAGGCUCACAACCAGACUCCACUGUCAGCCUGUCCAGCUCCCCAUUGUCUGCGGAGGUGACCUCACUCCCAGUUACACACAGCAAAUCUGCAGCUACAUCUCAGGUCACCUUCCCCAGAUCUGUUACCAGCUCUGUUGCCUAUUCCCCUUCCCUCUUCCCCCCAUCGACCUCCACCUUAGCCACAAGAACAAUAGACACCUCUGCCACAGCCACCUCAUCCUCCCUGCUCACUUCAGAAACAAGCAAUAUUGUCACCACACAGCCAGACACCAUGGCCACCAUGCCUUCCUCUCUCAGCACACCCAACCUCACCUCUUUAAACAGCCACCCCACUGUCACCUUGUCUACAACUGCCAUCUCCAUACCUCUUGUCAGUUCAGGGACCAUGGGGACCCUGGAGACACUCACACCCACUGUCCCAUCUUCACUUAGCUCAGGCCUGCCUACCAUGACAGACACAGCUCUGCCCUCCUCUUCAAUAGGCAUUACGGAGCCUUUGGCCACAGAGUCACACACUGAAACCCACACAGUUACUAGCCUGUCACCAACUGAUUUCAUCUCAUCUAACCCCACCAACAGCAGGCACACCAACACUCCCCUUGUUUACACACCACACACCACCAGCAGUGAGACAGCUGUUUCUGUCAGUACUGGAAGCUCUCCACCUCCCCUUGCCUCCAGCUACCCUGCUGCCUCUUCCUUCUCCUCAUCCUCUUCUGCUAGGACAGCUGAGACUACACAGAGGAACAUUGUCCCCUCAGCUCCAACCAUCACACAUACACUGCACUCCACAGCUGAGUCCACCCUGACACCCACAACCCUCACCACACGCACAGCCCCCACAUCCACCCAGCCUCUUUCUCCUACCUCAGCUGUGACUGGAACAGACCAACCCUCUCUUCCCAGCCUAGCCACUGUUACCAGCUCUGUUACCCAUUCCCCAUCCCAUGUCACCUCUCCUACCACUAUCUUAGCCACAAGGACCCCAGACACACCGGUCACACCCACUUUGCCUUCCCAGUUCACUUUAGAAACAAGCAAUGCUGUCACCACACAGCUGGUCACCAAAGCCACCCUGCCUCCCUCUCUCAGCUCACCUAGCCUAACCUCCUUAAACAGCCACCCCACUGCCACCUUGUCCACAACAGUCACCUCUUCACUUGCUGCUACUUCAGGGACACUGGUGACCCUCAGAUCCACAAUUCCCUCUUCACAUAGCUCAUUCGUGCCCACCAUGACAGACACAGCUCUCAUCUCCUCAUCCAUGGGCAGCAUCACAGAGUCACUCAUGACAGACACAGCUGUGACUUCCCCAAUCACGUCCUCGGUAACUGUCACAGGCCCACUCACAUAUGCCACAUCCAUCAGUCCCUCUCAAAUGACCUCGAAUAUUCUGACCUCAGGCACAAGUAUGGCUCCAUCUUCUGCAUCUGCCUCAGGCUCACAACCAGACUCCACUGUCAGCCUGUCCAGCUCCCCAUUGUCUGCGGAGGUGACCUCACUCCCAGCUACACAUGCCACAUCUGCAGCUACAUCAAAGGUCACCUUCCCCAGCUCUGUUGUCUAUUCCCCUUCCAACAUCCCCUCUCCGACCUCCACCUUAGCCACAAGGACCACAGACACCCCUGCCACAACCACUUCACUCAUCCUGCUCACCUCAGAAACAAGCAAUACUGUCACCACACAGCCAGUCACCAUGGCCACCCUGCCUUCCUCUCUCAGCACUCCCAGCCUCACCUCUUUAAACGGCCACCCCACUGUCACCUUGUCCACAACUGCCAUCUCUUCACUUGCUGCUACUUCAGGGACACUGGGGACCCUCACACCCACAGUUUCCUCUUUACAUAGCCCAGGACAGCCAACCACAACAGACACAGCUCUCCCCUCCUCAUCCCUGGGCAGUACCACAGAUUCACUUAUGACACACACAGCUGUGACUUCCCCAAUCAUGUCCUCAGUAACUGUCACAGGCCUUCUCACAGAUGCCACAUCCACGAGCUCUUCUCACAUCACCUCCAGUAUUGUGACCUCACACAGGGGUACAGCUCAGUCCUCUAUGUCAGUUUCAAGUUCACAACCAGACUCUACUGUCAGCAGGUCCAGCUCCCCGGUGUCUGUGGAGGUGACCUCACCCCCAGUUACACACGCCACAUCUUCAGCUACAUCUCAGGUCACCUUCCCUAACUCUGUCACCAGCUCUGUUGUCCAUCCCCCUUCCCAUGUCACCUCUCCGACCUCCAUCUUAGCCACAGGGAUGCCAGACACCUCUGUCACACCCUCCUGGCCAUCCCUGCUCACUUCAGAAACAAGCAAUACUGUCACCACACAGCCAGUCACCAAGUCCACCAUGCCUCCCUCUCUCAGUAUGUCCAUCCUCAUCUCAAAAAUCAGCCACCCAACUGUCACCUUGUCCACAACUUCCAUCUCUUUACCUGCUGCCACUACAGAAGCACUGGGGACUCUCAAACCUACAAUUCCCUUUUCAUCAAGCUCAGGUCAGCCUGCAACGAUAAAUACAUCUCUCCCCUCCUCAUCUAUGGGCAUAUCUACAGAGUCACUCAUGACAGACACAGCUGUGACUCCUCCAAUCACAUCCUCGGUAACUGUCACAGGCCCUCUCACAGAUGCCACAUCCAUCAGUCCCUCCCAAAUGACCUCGAAUAUUCAGACCUCAAGCACAAGUAUGGCUCCAUCCUCUACAUCUGUCUCAGGCUCACAACCAGACUCCACUGUUAGUGUGUCCAGCUCCCCAUUGUCUGUGGAGGUGACCUCACUCCCAGUCACACACGCCACAUCUGCAGCUACAUCUCAGGUCACCUUCCCCAGCUCUGUUACCAGCUCUGUUGUCUAUUCCCCUUCCCAUGUCACCUCUUCUACAUCCAUCUUAGCCUCAAGGUCCCUAGAAACCUCUCUCACACCCACCCCGCCCUCCCUGCUCACUUCAGGAAUAAGCAAUGCUGUCACCACACAGCUGGUCACCAAGGCCACCCUGCCUCCCUCUCUCAGCUCACCCAGCCUAACCUCCUUAAACAGCCAUCCCCCUGUCACCUUGUCCACAACUGCCAUCUCCUUACCUGCUGCCACUACAGGGACACUGGGGACCCUCACACCCACAAUUCCCUCUUCACAUAGCUCAGUCCUGUCCACCAUGACAGACACAGCUCUCCUCUCCUCAUCUCUGGGCAGCACCACACAGUCACUCAUGACAGACACAGCUGUGACUUCCCCAAUCACGUCCUCGGUAACUGUCACAAGCCCUCUCACAUAUGCCAAAUCCACCAGUCCAUCCCACAUAACCCCUAAUAUUCUGACCUCAGGCACAAGUAUGGCUCCAUCCUCUACAUUUGUCUCAAGUUCACAACCAGACUCCACUGUCAGCAUUUUCAGCUCCCCGAUGUCUGCUGAGGUGACCUCACUCCCACUUACACACAGCAAAUCUGCAGCUACAUCUCAGGUCACCUUCCCCAGGUCUGUUAUCACCUCUGUUGUCUAUUCCCCUUCCCACGUCACCUCUCCUACCUCCAUUGUAGACACAAGGACCCCAGACACCUCUCUCACACCCACCUGGCCCUCCAUGCUCACUGCAGGAACAAGCAAUACUGUCACCACAGAGCCAGUCACCAAGGCCACCAUGCCUCAGUCUCUCAGCAUGUCCAGCCUCACCUCCUUAAAGAGCCACCCCACUGUCACCUUGUCUACAACUGCCAUCUCCUUACCUCAUGUCAGUUCAGGGACCAUCGGGACCCUGCAGACACCCAUACCCACCUUCACAUCUUCACUUAGCUCAGGUCUGCCUACCAUGACAGACACAGCUCUGCCCUCCUCAUCCAUAGGCAUUACGGAGCCUUUGGCCACAGAGUCACACACUGAAACCCACACAGUUACUAGCCUGUCACCAACUGAUUUCAUCUCAUCUAACCCCACCAACAGCAGGCACACCAACACUCCCCUUGUUUACACACCCCACACCACCAGCAGUGAGACAGCUGUUUCUGUCAGUACUGGAAGCUCUCUAACUCCCCUUGCCUCCAGCUACCCUGCUGCCUCUUCCUUCUCCUCAUCCUCUUCUGCCAGGACAGCUGAGACUACACAGAGGGACAUUGUCCCCUCAGCUCCAACCAUCACACAUACACUGCACUCCACAGCUGAGUCCACCCUGACACCCACAACCCUCACCACAUGCACAGCCCCCACAUCCACCCAGCCUCUUUCUCCUACCUCAGCUGUGACUGGAACAGACCAACCCUCUUUUCCCAGCCUAGCCACUGUUACCAGCUCUGUUACCCAUUCCCCAUCCCAUGUCACCUCUCCUACCACUAUCUUAGCCACAAGGACCCCAGACACCUCGGUCACACCCACUUUGCCCUCCCAGUUCACUUUAGAAACAAGCAAUGCUGUCACCACACAGCUGGUCACCAAGGCCACCCUGCCUCCCUCUCUCAGCUCACCCACCCUCACCUCCUUAAACAGCCACCCACCUGUCACCUUGUCCACAACUGCCAUCUCUUCACUUGCUGCUACUUCAGGGAUACUGGGGACCCUCACACCCACAGUUUCCUCUUUACAUAGCCCAGGACAGCCAACCACAACGGACACAGCUCUCCCCUCCUCAUCCAUGGGCAGCACCACAGAUUCACUUGUGACACACACAGCUGUGACUUCCCCAAUCAUGUCCUCAGCCACUGUCACAGGCCCUCUCACAGAUGCCACAUCCAUCAGUCCCUCUCAAAUGACCUUGAAUAUUCUGACCUCAGGAACAAGUAUGGCUGCAUCCUCUACAUCUGCCUCAGGCUCACAACCAGACUCCACUGUUAGUGUGUCCAGCUCCCCAUUGUCUGCGGAGGUGACUUCACUCCCAGUUACACACGCCACAUCUGCAGCUACAUCUCAGGUCACCUUCCCCAGUUCUGUUACCAGCUCUGUUGUCUAUUCCCCUUCCAACAUCCCCUCUCUGACCUCCACCUUAGCCACAAGGACCACAGACACCCCUGCCUCAGGCACUUCACCCAUCCUGCUCACUUCAGAAACAAGCAAUACUGUCACCACACAGCCAGUCACCAUGGCCACCCUGCCUUCCUCUCUCAGCACACCAAGCCUCACCUCUUUAAACAGCCACCCCACUGUCAACUUGUCCACAACUGCCAUAUCCUUGCCUGCUGCCACUACAAGGACAAUGGGGACCCUCACACCCACAAUUCCCUCUUCACAUAGCUCAUUCGUGCCCACCAUGACAGACACAGCUGUGACUUCCCCAGUCACGUCCUCGGUAACUGUCACAGGCCCACUCACAUAUGGAAGAUCCACCAGUCCCUCCCACGUGACCCCCAAUAUUCUGACUUCAGGCACAAGUAUGACUCGGUCCUCUAUGUCUGCCUCAAGUUCACAACCAGACUCCAGUAUCAGCGUGUCCAGCUCCCCGUUGUCUGCCGUGGUGACCUCACUCACAGUUACACAUGCCACAUCUGUAGCUACGUCUCAGGUCACCUUCCCUAGUUCUACCUCUAUGCCAGACAGCACUUCAGUCCUUGCCAGUGACACAUCUACCCUCACAAACUUCCCGACCCAAACCCAACCAUCUCCACUCAUCUCAGGCACCACUACGACUCUCUCUCCAGGCUUAUAUGCCACAGUCACCUUGACUCCCUCUACAAGCUAUUCUCCCUCUUCCAAUUCAAACACCCAACCCCCUGACAGCACAACCACAGCCAUCACCUCCUCACUUCCUAUAACCUCUGGUCACCUGGAGACACUAACCUCUCUAACUUCAUCUUUGCCUAGUGAAGGAACCCCUACCAUUUUCAAUACGGGUACAUCUGCCAUGACAGCUACCACCUCAACCCAUUCACGUUCUAGUCUGUUACAAACCCAUACCAGUCUCAUCCCACCAUCCUCCAUCACCCAGAACACAGGUAUUUCCAGUCUCAGCACCACCCACUCCAUUGCCCCCAUUAUGACAACUACUGUCACAGUGACUGGGGAUACCCCAAGGGGUUCUCUUGGGACAGGUAUGUCAGUUUCACCUGGAAUUCCACUGUCAAAGUCAACUUCUAUUGCCUCUGUUCCUACUAGUGCUUCUCCUACAAGUCCAGAUCACCCCCUCUCUUCCUUUCAUACUCAGAGUCUGUCACCAAACUUCAGUCCUAGCUUGUCAGCGUCCCAUGUCCCCAGUACAAGCACCGUUCCAUCUACUCUUAGUACUCUCGUGUCCACCCCAACGUCACUAACUACACUUACUUCAUCAGGUGAGCCCAGAACACAUUCCCUCCCCUGGGGAAGUUCUUCUACAAAUGCAGUGGUGACUGCUUUUGCUACCCUGAUCUCUUCAACACCUUCAGUAAUAAUGUCUGCUUCUCCAUCUCUCCCUGCUAUGAGACCAGUGCUAACGACGACUACUAAACCUCCUUCUCCCUUCUCCCUGAGCUCCAGUACAGAAGCUACAGUCUCUUCUGUAGUGACAUCCUUUCCUCCUUCUUCAACCACCAGAACUUCCCCAACCACCUCACCGCUGACCACAGCUCAUACCGUAUCAACUCCUUUCUCUUAUAUCUCCCUUCCUUCUACUACACCCUGUCCAGAAACCAUCACCGUCACCAUAGUCCCCAGCUCUCCCCUGACUCCGUGUGUUGACAUCAAUCCCAGUACUGAAGCGACAUCUGCUCCUAUCACCCCAUUCUCUGUCAUUCCCUCUACCACCAACAUGGUUACCUCGUCCAUGACACCAGAAACCCAGCCGUCAGACACCAUCACUGAGGCUCCUAGCUCAACAGACACUAGGACAAUAGUCACAGAUACAGUCUUCAGGAGCUCCCCAAUGUCCACCAGGGACGAUCGGUUCAGUGCCACCUCUAUCACCACCCCAAAUACACCUGGCUCUAUCAGUGUCCCCUCAAGCCUGAAACCAAGCAACAGUUUUCAAACUACCACAACUUCAAGCAAGGUGACACAGCCUAUUCUGCCGGCCACAAAGACACCAGAGACGUCGGUGGCCACCAUGAAGUCUCCUACCACCCUUACAUCACCACGAUCAAGAUCAACUUCAGCCUCUACUCUGAUGACCACUCCAGCGAGCUUGACUACGACCCCAGGUGUUUGUGACAAUGGUGGCACCUGGGAGCAGGGCCAGUGCAUUUGCCCUCCUGGUUUCUCUGGAGACUACUGUCAAGAUCUGGAUAACAGAUGCCAGAAUGGGGGUUCAUGGGAUGGCAUCAAGUGUGUCUGCCCCAGCACCUUCUAUGGGUCCUUCUGUGAGAUUCCAGUGGAGCAGUUAGACAUAGACACAGUGGAGACUGAAGUGGGCAUGGAGGUAUCUGUGGAGCAGGAAUUCUCUCCAGACCUUGAAGACAACACUUCCAAGGCCUACAAAGACUUCAGCAGUGCCUUCCAGCAUCAGAUGCAGAAGAUUUUCCAGGCUGUUCAAGGCUUCCAAGGUGUGGAAAUCCUGUCCUUGAGCGCUGUGUUUUAAGUCUGACUCCAUCAAGGUGAACAAUCGCACUGAGAAAGAUCUGACUCCAGAAGCCAUUUGUCAUCGAACUGCUCCCAAGGGUUUUGAGGAACACUACUUUCCUUUGGUGGAGCUGAGCAGGCUCCGCUGUGUCACCAAUUGCACACCUGGCGUGAAUGGCACCAUCGACUGCAACCAUGGACAGUGUUUUCUGCAGAAGAGCGGUCCAACCUGCCGGUGAGGUCCCGCCCCACUCCAUAGGCCACGCCCACUCGCCCAAGUGGUCUCCCUGGUGCCACGCCCACCACCUCCCAGAAGAGUCCGGGUCCACUGACUGCCCCAGGGUGGAGACGACUGCAAUCCCCCUUCACCUUUGUGUGGCUUCCUGGGAAUGAACCCAGGUUACCUCACCAUGCUAGAGCAGCAAGCACCUUUGCUCCCCCCACCCCCGUCCCCACCCCAGUCAUAUUGCUUGUCCUUUUCCCUCCCUUCCUCUCUCUCUCUCUACUGUCUUUCCCAGGCUGGCCUCAAUCAUUUAACUUAGUAGUGAAGACUGGCUUUUAACUCCUUUGUCUUUACCCCCAACUAUAAAUGUGAGCCACCACAUCCCACUGUCCCUUCUGGAGACCCUGCUCUAUACAGACCAAACUCUCCAAGGUCCUGGCCACUUGCUCUAGGAUGGCGGACCCCAGCCUGUGUGGCCCCGCCUACUAGCAUGUGACCUGUCUGAGCUCUGUAACUCUCUCUCCAGCUGCUUUUCCACAGACACGUACUGGGUCUCAGGCCCACGCUGUGAGUUGGCCGUUGACUGGAGGGUUUUGGUUGGAGGCCUGGUGGGGGCUGUCAUUGUGCUGCUGCUGUUAUUGGUGGCUUUAAGUGUCUGGGUGGCACGUUCCCGGGGAAGAGACAAGGACCGCCAGUCCUCGGGCAGGUGAGCUGGAGGGGCAGAGGGGUGCUUAGGGGUCUCCUGACACCACAGUUUUGCCCAGUUACUGACUUCCUGAGCUGCCUAGGUCCUGGACCCAGGACAGGAAAUGGUUUGAGAUCUGGGAUGAAGACAUCGCGGGAACUUUUUCUAACACGGGCUUCCAGGAUGCCCCGACAGGUACGUCUUGAUACCUAAGGACAGGGCUUGCCCUGGGCUGUACCGCAGUCUGAGGAGGGUAUGUUGACCUCCUUAGCUGGGACAGACAUGGGUCUGGUGCCCAGGAGUGGAGAUUCCCAGACCAUCCCUGGGUCACGUGGUCUCUGUUUCCUCUGCUCUACCGCCCUCCUUUCUUGUCUCUGCAGCCACUAAUGAAAACUUCCAUGUUGCCUUGGAGAAGGUGGAUACCAACAUGAUGGUGAGGUCACCAUGAAGGGUUACUAAGCAACCCUCCCUAACUCAAAUCCUUGGUUCCUUCUCAGGGCAGGUGCCUAGGUUGGGAGUAAGCAAUGGCUUUCUCAGCAAUCUCACUCUCAAUGUCGAUUCUGUGGCAGGUUCACAUCCAAAGACCUGAGGUAGCCUCAUCAUCACCACCAUCACCAUCACCAUCACCAUCAUCAUCACCAUCACCAUCAUCAUCGUCCUGAGCCCUUGCAGGGUCUCUUCUGUGCUCCCCCACUCUGCCCGGGGCUGUACAAUUGAGCCCAUUGUGCAAGAACUGCUUCAAGUACCCACACAGCCCAGGCUCCCAGUGUUCUUGGUGGGAGGGGUUCCUGUUUCCUUGACCUCCCAUCCUUCUCUUUGUUUGACAGAAACCCACUUGGAGAACAUGUAUCUCUGCUCUUCACUCCAGUAUGGUGGGCAAGGCCAUCUCAGUCUCUUGCCUCAGUCUCCUCAGCUGUGAAAUGGGUGUGAUGCACUUAUACCAUGACUCUAAAACUUAGCGCAAUUACUUCACGCCUUUGGUUGAUUUUUGCGGGUAGCAGGGCUUAUAUCUCCUGUUGCUUUUCUCAGAUUCUCUCUCCCACCUGACUCUACCACCUUGCAGUGUCAGGUCUCCGUUGUUCCUCUGAGACAGAGUUUAAUGAGGUUCUGGGGAUCGAACCUAGGAUUAUGUGUAUGCUAGACAAGAGCUCUACCCAUUGAGCCACGCACCCCCAGCCAUUGGCUCUUACUCUUGGAUUUGCACUCUAUUGCCAUCCUGGUGAGGCUUACCCUUCAUCUUGCAUGUUUACAUAGCCUGACAUUAUUCCUGGGGGCAGCAUGAAGGAAGUCACACCUCCGUCUCUCUCCUCAUGGCUCCUUGCUGUGGCCCCUACUCUCACGCCCCAAAGCUCCUCGAGUUGAUACUUGUGCCAGUCUCCUCCCUUAGCCCUAUUGCUCUCUCAGUUGACAGGCUGGUCUCCAACUCUCUGACCAGGACCUUGAUUCCUUGCUCCUCUAUCCUGGCACCUACAAACCUGCUCCCUCCUCCAUCCCAACAGCUAUCCCCAAAUCCUACCUCGUUCCCACACCUCCCUGUUCCUAGGGGUCCUCGUACAGCCAGGGUGCCAUCGGGUCCCCAGUUAAUGCUUCCCAAGACCCUACUUCCGUACCCUGAGGCUCCAACCUCUUCUUUCCACCCUUGAUGAUUGCGAAUCCCAGGCAGGGAUUUGUCGACGAGGGGACACGACCCGUCUCCUUAUUUCCUCUCCCCUCCCAGUCUUCACCUCCUCUUCCACGUUGAUGUCUUUUCUUUUGUUUCCAUCACUCAGAAACUGAUGUGACCUCUGAGCUUGGAACCCUCAGUUCCCUUUGCCAGGACGGUUCUGGGGACAGGAAGUCAGCGAGUGUCUAGUUCCCCAUAUAAAUCUAAUAAAUACAUUGGCUGUAAACAAA
RNA transcript from Mus musculus (house mouse), 11711 nucleotides. It is a transcript of the gene named mucin 3A, cell surface associated, with no coding region annotated. NCBI's taxonomy places the organism in Eukaryota, Metazoa, Chordata, Mammalia, Rodentia, Muridae. The record is from RefSeq and is a predicted model, not a curated record. The transcript is spliced from 6 exons.